GGGCAAAUCCCAGGGAGGCAAAGGCAGAUUCAUAUUUUCUUUUCCUUGCAAUCUGUUACACACUAUUGUUUUUUGACACACUUUGCUUCACACGGCAGUGGUGAUGGUGGAAACUAAGGCCGAGAGCAAGGAGACGCGGGCCUGGUCCACCUCGAGUGACUCCUCAAGGUGCUUGUCCAUCACCUGUCGCAGCCCAGCCGUAUAGACCCCUCCCCCACCCCGUGUCUGAUUCGUCAGAGAAUCCCCCUGGAGAAGCUCAGGCAUCUUGAGGAUACACGCGCUGAAGGAUUCUCUUAGAAGCUGCAGUCCCACGCGUCCCUUAUUUGAAGAUUACAGGAAGGCGGAAAAGCCUGUGGAAUUUUCGAGAACUGAAGUUUUCAGUCUUCAAGUGUCCUGCUUGCUCCCUUUCUAUCUACGCUUCACAGUGACAUGACUCCGCUCUAUGAUACAAGCAUCUGAAUCAGCG
RNAcentral lists this long non-coding RNA (466 nucleotides) under Canis lupus dingo (dingo). RNAcentral describes it as "lncRNA (ENSCAFG00020005364.1)". Lineage: Eukaryota; Metazoa; Chordata; Mammalia; Carnivora; Canidae. The record is from RNAcentral.